Molecule: ribosomal RNA, 587 nt
Filed under: uncultured bacterium
Lineage: Bacteria
Description: bacterial SSU rRNA
Rfam family: Bacterial small subunit ribosomal RNA
Source: RNAcentral
CCUACGGGAGGCAGCAGUCGGGAAUAUUGGACAAUGGGGGAAACCCUGAUCCAGCCAUGCCGCGUGUGUGAAGAAGGCCUUCGGGUUGUAAAGCACUUUCAGUAGUGAGGAAGGGACCUGGGCGAAUACCCCGGGUUCUUGACGUUAGCUACAGAAGCAGCACCGGCUAACUCCGUGCCAGCAGCCGCGGUAAUACGGAGGGUGCGAGCGUUAAUCGGAAUUACUGGGCGUAAAGCGCGCGUAGGCGGUUUGGUAAGUCGGAUGUGAAAGCCCAGGGCUUAACCUUGGAACUGCAUUCGAUACUGCCUGACUAGAGUAUGGUAGAGGGGGGUAGAAUUCCACGUGUAGCGGUGAAAUGCGUAGAGAUGUGGAGGAAUACCGGUGGCGAAGGCGGCCCCCUGGACCAAUACUGACGCUGAGGUGCGAAGGUGUGGGGAGCGAACAGGAUUAGAUACCCUGGUAGUCCACGCGGUAAACGGUGUCAACUAGCCGUUGGGAAUCUCGUUAUUCUUAGUGGCGCAGCUAACGCGAUAAGUUGACCGCCUGGGGAGUACGGUCGCAAGAUUAAAACUCAAAUGAAUUGACGG